This 115-nucleotide ribosomal RNA is filed under the name Ochotona princeps (American pika). Lineage: Eukaryota; Metazoa; Chordata; Mammalia; Lagomorpha; Ochotonidae. The record is from RNAcentral.
GUCUAUGGCCAUAUCACCCUGAAUGCGCCCAAUCUCGUCUGAUCUCGGAAGCUAAGCAGGGUCAGGCCUGGUUAGUACUUGGAUAGGAGACUGAUAACACCUAGCAUUUUUGUAA